Monodelphis domestica (gray short-tailed opossum) is the source of this 1689-nucleotide long non-coding RNA. The record is from Ensembl. NCBI's taxonomy places the organism in Eukaryota, Metazoa, Chordata, Mammalia, Didelphimorphia, Didelphidae.
GGAAGGAAGGAGAGAGGUAGGCAGGAAGUACGGGAAAGUGUGAUGAAGGACGGGAGGGAGGAGGGAAGGGAAGACGUGAGGAGUGAAGCAGAAAGGGAGGGAAGAUGGAAGGAGGUAGGAAGAGAGGAGGGAAGCAGGAAGGAAGGGAGGGUGGGAGGAGGGAAGGAAGGAGAGAGAGAGGCGGGAAGGAAGGGAAGUGGGAGGAAGGAAGGACGAAGGGAGGGCGAAAAAAUGCCCCGCUGGGGCCCAGGGAAAAGGAAGGUGCUGGAGGGAGGGGAAAGAUUGCGAGGUGGCAGAAAAAAAGGAAGAGAAGGCUUCCACCAGAGGGAGCCGGGAGAAGGAGAGGAAGGGGCAUGGAGCUCCAGCGAGGGAUGAGCCGGGCUGAUGGGGGAGGGAGGCCCGGGAGUUAGGAGCCUGGAAGCCGGAGGAGGGACGGUUGGAUGUUGCCUGGAGGCAAAGAUGGGCUGGCUGGGCUGAUGGACAGGUGCAGAAGCUAUCCUUCCCCGCUAAGAUCCCGGCUCACACGAGCCUGCUGUGGGCGGACUCGGUACCACUUGGGCUCUCGUCCCCCCCACCCCAGAUUACAGAGAAGGAAGCUAAGGCAGAGGGCGGGUCAGUGAAUCGGUCUGCGCCCCACAGCCAAGAGGCGGCUAAGGUUGGAUUUGAACUCGCGACUCCUUGGCUCGGCGCCCAGUGGCGCCCCCUAGCGGCCCCGUUAGGCCUCCGCUUCCCUGAGGGUAAAACGUGGGCUUAGUUCGGAUAGGGAUCUCAAAGCACCUUGGGCCCAGACCCUCGGCAUGAAUGGGGGGAGCUUUGGGGCUGGGGGGCUCGGGGGAAUUAGGCCCCAAUCCUAACAAUCUGCCCGAAGAAUUGGGCGAGGAGGGGGAAAGAGAGGGUAGUCCCCAGAGGGCGUGGCCUUGUGUCCCCUCACACACACCUCGGGCUGGGCGGAAGCGGCGGACUCCUUCUUCCGGGGCCUUCUUUCCAGCCGGAACUCUUUUGCCGGGAGCGAGCAGCUUCACAGUCCUCGGGGUCCGCUCAGUACGGAAGGCGAGAGGGGCCACCUGCGCUGCGCUGGUCCUUGCCCUGGGGAAGCGGCGCCCCCAGCCCACCCCCACGGAGCCGGCCCUGGCGCUCUGGGGGCUGUGGAGAAGGCUUGACUUCCCCAGAUCUGCGGGGGACCUGCCGGCCAUGCCUCGCGGGGCCGCCCCGCCCCCUGGCCCUGCGCACCACCUCCUGCCCCCGGCUGGCCCGGGCUCCCCUCCGGGGUCCUGCGCCCCAGGCCACCGGGUGGGGCGGCGUGAGCCAGGCUCUCCCCUUGGGCCCCUCCUUUCUGUCAUUCUCAUCCCACAGGCAUGCCCACCGCCCCCUAUUCCAAGCCUUCACCUCAUCCUGCCUGCUCCUCUCAAGUCACUGAUGGGCAAAAGCGUAUUAAAUGCUUGCCCCAGGAGCUGCUCCACCAAAUCUUUCAUCCGCUCGUUCCGGGACCGUCACUUCCAGUCUCAACGCGUUGCCCAGCGGAUCCAUGACCUCAGCCGUGUGGCUCUAAGCCGGCGGCCCAUCCUGUGGAGCUCUUUUGUCCACAACCCACGGAGAGAUUGCAGCAUGGGUCCACCCACUGUGCUUCCUCCCGUCCUAAAGAGAUUGGCAUCGUUUGGGCAGUCCUUGGGGCUCCCUGCUGCCAUGUGA